This 645-nucleotide ribosomal RNA is filed under the name Cortinarius iliopodius. Its description in RNAcentral is "eukaryotic LSU rRNA". It matches the Rfam family "Eukaryotic large subunit ribosomal RNA", at positions 1 to 626 of the family's 3401-position model. Lineage: Eukaryota; Fungi; Basidiomycota; Agaricomycetes; Agaricales; Cortinariaceae. The record is from RNAcentral.
UGACCUCAAAUCAGGUAGGACUACCCGCUGAACUUAAGCAUAUCAAUAAGCGGAGGAAAAGAAACUAACAAGGAUUCCCCUAGUAACUGCGAGUGAAGCGGGAAAAGCUCAAAUUUAAAAUCUGGCGGCCUUUUGGCUGUCCGAGUUGUAAUCUAGAGAAGUGUUAUCCGCGCUGGACCGUGUACAAGUCUCCUGGAAUGGAGCAUCAUAGAGGGUGAGAAUCCCGUCUUUGACAUGGACUGCCAGGGCUUUGUGAUGCGCUCUCAAAGAGUCGAGUUGUUUGGGAAUGCAGCUUAAAAUGGGUGGUAAAUUCCAUCUAAAGCUAAAUAUUGGCGAGAGACCGAUAGCGAACAAGUACCGUGAGGGAAAGAUGAAAAGAACUUUGGAAAGAGAGUUAAACAGUACGUGAAAUUGCUGAAAGGGAAACGCUUGAAGUCCGUCAUGUCAUCCAGGGAUCAACCUUGCUUUUGCUUGGUGCACUUCCUGGUUUGACGGGCCAGCAUCAAUUUUGACCGUUGGAAAAAGGCUAGGGGAAUGUGGCAUCUCUGGAUGUGUUAUAGCCCUUGGUCACAUACAAUGGUUGGGAUUGAGGAACUCAGCACGCCGCAAGGCCGGGUGUUCGCACCACGUACGUGCUUAGGAUGC